AGAGUUUGAUCAUGGCUCAGAACGUACGCUGGCGGCACGCCUAAUACAUGCAAGUCGAACGAAGUAGCAAUACUUAGUGGCAGACGGGUGAGUAACAUGUAGGUAUCUGCCCUUUGGCCUGGAAUAACACGAGGAAACUUGUGCUAAUACCGGAUAAGUCUUUACGGAGAAAGCUUUAUGCACCAUUGGAUGAGCCUGCACUUGAUUAGUUUGUUGGUGGGGUAAUGGCCUACCAAGACUGUGAUCAAUAGCUGAUUUGAGAGGAUGAUCAGCCACAUUGGGACUGAGACACGGCCCAAACUCCUACGGGAGGCAGCAGUAGGGAAUCUUGCACAAUGGAGGAAACUCUGAUGCAGCGAUGCCGCGUGAGUGAAGAAGGCCUUUGGGUUGUAAAGCUCUUUCGUCGGGGAAGAAAAUGACUGUACCCGAAUAAGAAGGUCCGGCUAACUUCGUGCCAGCAGCCGCGGUAAUACGAAGGGACCUAGCGUAGUUCGGAAUUACUGGGCUUAAAGAGUUCGUAGGUUGUUAAAAAAGUUGGUGGUGAAAUCCCAGAGCUUAACUCUGGAACUGCCAUCAAAACUUUUUAGCUAGAGUUUGAUAGAGGAAAGCAGAAUUUCUAGUGUAGAGGUGAAAUUCGUAGAUAUUAGAAAGAAUACCGAUUGCGAAGGCAGCUUUCUGGAUCAUUACUGACACUGAGGAACGAAAGCAUGGGUAGCGAAGAGGAUUAGAUACCCUCGUAGUCCAUGCUGUAAACGAUGUGUGUUAGACGUUGGAAAAUUAUUUUUCAGUGUCGCAGCGAAAGCAUUAAACACACCGCCUGGGGAGUACGACCGCAAGGUUAAAACUCAAAUGAAUUGACGGGGACCCGCACAAGCAGUGGAGCAUGUGGUUUAAUUCGAAGAUACGCGCAGAACCUUACCAACACUUGACAUGUUCGUCGCGACUUUAAGAGAUUAAAGUUUUCGGUUCGGCCGGACGAAACACAGGUGCUGCAUGGCUGUCGUCAGCUCGUGUCGUGAGAUGUUGGGUUAAGUCCCGCAACGAGCGCAACCCCUACUUUUAGUUGCCACCAUUUAGUUGGGCACUUUAAAAGAACUGCCAGUGAUAAGCUGGAGGAAGGUGGGGAUGACGUCAAGUCCUCAUGGCCCUUACGUGUUGGGCUACACACGUGCUACAAUGGUACUUACAAUGGGAAGCAAAGAGGCGACUCUUAGCCAAUCCCAAAAAAGUGCCUCAGUUCGGAUUGUACUCUGCAACUCGAGUGCAUGAAGCUGGAAUUGCUAGUAAUCGCGGAUCAGCGCGCCGCGGUGAAUACGUUCCCGGGUCUUGUACACACCGCCCGUCACACCAUGGAAGUUGGUUCUACCUUAAGGCAAAGCUUAAUACCUUUGAUCACGGUAUAGUCAGCGACUGGGGUGAAGUCGUAACAAGGUAGCCGUA
RNAcentral lists this ribosomal RNA (1440 nucleotides) under uncultured bacterium. Its description in RNAcentral is "bacterial SSU rRNA". It matches the Rfam family "Bacterial small subunit ribosomal RNA". The record is from RNAcentral.